This 627-nucleotide ribosomal RNA is filed under the name Epichloe typhina. Its description in RNAcentral is "eukaryotic LSU rRNA". It matches the Rfam family "Eukaryotic large subunit ribosomal RNA", at positions 1 to 649 of the family's 3401-position model. Lineage: Eukaryota; Fungi; Ascomycota; Sordariomycetes; Hypocreales; Clavicipitaceae. The record is from RNAcentral.
UUGACCUCGAAUCAGGUAGGAAUACCCGCUGAACUUAAGCAUAUCAAUAAGCGGAGGAAAAGAAACCAACAGGGAUUGCCCCAGUAACGGCGAGUGAAGCGGCAACAGCUCAAAUUUGAAAUCUGGCCCCCCGGGGCCCGAGUUGUAAUUUGUAGAGGAUGCUUUUGGCGAGGCGCCUUCCGAGUUCCCUGGAACGGGACGCCACAGAGGGUGAGAGCCCCGUCUGGUUGGAUGCCGAGCCUCUGUAAAGCUCCUUCGACGAGUCGAGUAGUUUGGGAAUGCUGCUCUAAAUGGGAGGUAUAUGUCUUCUAAAGCUAAAUAUUGGCCAGAGACCGAUAGCGCACAAGUAGAGUGAUCGAAAGAUGAAAAGCACUUUGAAAAGAGGGUUAAAUAGUACGUGAAAUUGUUGAAAGGGAAGCGCUCAUGACCAGACUUGGGCCCGGUGAAUCAUCCAGCGUUCUCGCUGGUGCACUUUGCCGGGCACAGGCCAGCAUCAGUUUGCCCCGGGGGACAAAGGCUCUGGGAAUGUGGCUCCUCCGGGAGUGUUAUAGCCCUCUGCGCAAUGCCCUGGGGCGGACUGAGGUUCGCGCAUCUGCAAGGAUGCUGGCGUAAUGGUCAUCAGCGACC